Molecule: ribosomal RNA, 244 nt
Filed under: uncultured bacterium
Lineage: Bacteria
Description: partial 16S ribosomal RNA
Rfam family: Bacterial small subunit ribosomal RNA
Source: RNAcentral
GCGAGGCGGAGCGAAUCCCCAAAAGGACGUCUCAGUUCGGAUUGCAGGCUGCAACUCGCCUGUAUGAAGUCGGAAUUGCUAGUAAUCGUGGAUCAGCAUGCCACGGUGAAUACGUUCCCGGGUCUUGUACACACCGCCCGUCACACCAUGGGAGUCGGAAAUGCCCGAAGUCAGUGACCUAACCGAAAGGGAGGAGCUGCCGAAGGUGGAGCCGGUAACUGGGGUGAAGUCGUAACAAGGUAGC